RNAcentral lists this ribosomal RNA (1384 nucleotides) under Lactiplantibacillus plantarum. Its description in RNAcentral is "bacterial SSU rRNA". It matches the Rfam family "Bacterial small subunit ribosomal RNA", at positions 67 to 1424 of the family's 1533-position model. The record is from RNAcentral. Lineage: Bacteria; Bacillati; Bacillota; Bacilli; Lactobacillales; Lactobacillaceae. RNAcentral also lists the same sequence under 1 other name.
UGGUAUUGAUUGGUGCUUGCAUCAUGAUUUACAUUUGAGUGAGUGGCGAACUGGUGAGUAACACGUGGGAAACCUGCCCAGAAGCGGGGGAUAACACCUGGAAACAGAUGCUAAUACCGCAUAACAACUUGGACCGCAUGGUCCGAGCUUGAAAGAUGGCUUCGGCUAUCACUUUUGGAUGGUCCCGCGGCGUAUUAGCUAGAUGGUGGGGUAACGGCUCACCAUGGCAAUGAUACGUAGCCGACCUGAGAGGGUAAUCGGCCACAUUGGGACUGAGACACGGCCCAAACUCCUACGGGAGGCAGCAGUAGGGAAUCUUCCACAAUGGACGAAAGUCUGAUGGAGCAACGCCGCGUGAGUGAAGAAGGGUUUCGGCUCGUAAAACUCUGUUGUUAAAGAAGAACAUAUCUGAGAGUAACUGUUCAGGUAUUGACGGUAUUUAACCAGAAAGCCACGGCUAACUACGUGCCAGCAGCCGCGGUAAUACGUAGGUGGCAAGCGUUGUCCGGAUUUAUUGGGCGUAAAGCGAGCGCAGGCGGUUUUUUAAGUCUGAUGUGAAAGCCUUCGGCUCAACCGAAGAAGUGCAUCGGAAACUGGGAAACUUGAGUGCAGAAGAGGACAGUGGAACUCCAUGUGUAGCGGUGAAAUGCGUAGAUAUAUGGAAGAACACCAGUGGCGAAGGCGGCUGUCUGGUCUGUAACUGACGCUGAGGCUCGAAAGUAUGGGUAGCAAACAGGAUUAGAUACCCUGGUAGUCCAUACCGUAAACGAUGAAUGCUAAGUGUUGGAGGGUUUCCGCCCUUCAGUGCUGCAGCUAACGCAUUAAGCAUUCCGCCUGGGGAGUACGGCCGCAAGGCUGAAACUCAAAGGAAUUGACGGGGGCCCGCACAAGCGGUGGAGCAUGUGGUUUAAUUCGAAGCUACGCGAAGAACCUUACCAGGUCUUGACAUACUAUGCAAAUCUAAGAGAUUAGACGUUCCCUUCGGGGACAUGGAUACAGGUGGUGCAUGGUUGUCGUCAGCUCGUGUCGUGAGAUGUUGGGUUAAGUCCCGCAACGAGCGCAACCCUUAUUAUCAGUUGCCAGCAUUAAGUUGGGCACUCUGGUGAGACUGCCGGUGACAAACCGGAGGAAGGUGGGGAUGACGUCAAAUCAUCAUGCCCCUUAUGACCUGGGCUACACACGUGCUACAAUGGAUGGUACAACGAGUUGCGAACUCGCGAGAGUAAGCUAAUCUCUUAAAGCCAUUCUCAGUUCGGAUUGUAGGCUGCAACUCGCCUACAUGAAGUCGGAAUCGCUAGUAAUCGCGGAUCAGCAUGCCGCGGUGAAUACGUUCCCGGGCCUUGUACACACCGCCCGUCACACCAUGAGAGUUUGUAACACCCAA